UUAAGCGACUAAGCGUACACGGUGGAUGCCCUGGCAGUCAGAGGCGAUGAAGGACGUGCUAAUCUGCGAUAAGCGUCGGUGAGGUGAUAUGAACCGUUAUAACCGGCGAUUUCCGAAUGGGGAAACCCAGUGUGUUUCGACACACUAUCAUUAACUGAAUCCAUAGGUUAAUGAGGCGAACCGGGGGAACUGAAACAUCUAAGUACCCCGAGGAAAAGAAAUCAACCGAGAUUCCCCCAGUAGCGGCGAGCGAACGGGGAGGAGCCCAGAGCCUGAAUCAGUGUGUGUGUUAGUGGAAGCGUCUGGAAAGGCGUGCGAUACAGGGUGACAGCCCCGUACACAAAAAUGCACAUACUGUGAGCUCGAUGAGUAGGGCGGGACACGUGGUAUCCUGUCUGAAUAUGGGGGGACCAUCCUCCAAGGCUAAAUACUCCUGACUGACCGAUAGUGAACCAGUACCGUGAGGGAAAGGCGAAAAGAACCCCGGCGAGGGGAGUGAAAAAGAACCUGAAACCGUGUACGUACAAGCAGUGGGAGCCUCUUAAUGGGGUGACUGCGUACCUUUUGUAUAAUGGGUCAGCGACUUAUAUUCUGUAGCAAGGUUAACCGAAUAGGGGAGCCGAAGGGAAACCGAGUCUUAACUGGGCGUUAAGUUGCAGGGUAUAGACCCGAAACCCGGUGAUCUAGCCAUGGGCAGGUUGAAGGUUGGGUAACACUAACUGGAGGACCGAACCGACUAAUGUUGAAAAAUUAGCGGAUGACUUGUGGCUGGGGGUGAAAGGCCAAUCAAACCGGGAGAUAGCUGGUUCUCCCCGAAAGCUAUUUAGGUAGCGCCUCGUGAAUUCAUCUCCGGGGGUAGAGCACUGUUUCGGCAAGGGGGUCAUCCCGACUUACCAACCCGAUGCAAACUGCGAAUACCGGAGAAUGUUAUCACGGGAGACACACGGCGGGUGCUAACGUCCGUCGUGAAGAGGGAAACAACCCAGACCGCCAGCUAAGGUCCCAAAGUCAUGGUUAAGUGGGAAACGAUGUGGGAAGGCCCAGACAGCCAGGAUGUUGGCUUAGAAGCAGCCAUCAUUUAAAGAAAGCGUAAUAGCUCACUGGUCGAGUCGGCCUGCGCGGAAGAUGUAACGGGGCUAAACCAUGCACCGAAGCUGCGGCAGCGACGCUUAUGCGUUGUUGGGUAGGGGAGCGUUCUGUAAGCCUGUGAAGGUGGCCUGUGAGGGUUGCUGGAGGUAUCAGAAGUGCGAAUGCUGACAUAAGUAACGAUAAAGCGGGUGAAAAGCCCGCUCGCCGGAAGACCAAGGGUUCCUGUCCAACGUUAAUCGGGGCAGGGUGAGUCGACCCCUAAGGCGAGGCCGAAAGGCGUAGUCGAUGGGAAACAGGUUAAUAUUCCUGUACUUGGUGUUACUGCGAAGGGGGGACGGAGAAGGCUAUGUUGGCCGGGCGACGGUUGUCCCGGUUUAAGCGUGUAGGCUGGUUUUCCAGGCAAAUCCGGAAAAUCAAGGCUGAGGCGUGAUGACGAGGCACUACGGUGCUGAAGCGACAAAUGCCCUGCUUCCAGGAAAAGCCUCUAAGCAUCAGGUAACAUCAAAUCGUACCCCAAACCGACACAGGUGGUCAGGUAGAGAAUACCAAGGCGCUUGAGAGAACUCGGGUGAAGGAACUAGGCAAAAUGGUGCCGUAACUUCGGGAGAAGGCACGCUGAUAUGUAGGUGAAGCGACUUGCUCGUGGAGCUAAAAUCAGUCGAAGAUACCAGCUGGCUGCAACUGUUUAUUAAAAACACAGCACUGUGCAAACACGAAAGUGGACGUAUACGGUGUGACGCCUGCCCGGUGCCGGAAGGUUAAUUGAUGGGGUUAGCGGUAACGCGAAGCUCUUGAUCGAAGCCCCGGUAAACGGCGGCCGUAACUAUAACGGUCCUAAGGUAGCGAAAUUCCUUGUCGGGUAAGUUCCGACCUGCACGAAUGGCGUAAUGAUGGCCAGGCUGUCUCCACCCGAGACUCAGUGAAAUUGAACUCGCUGUGAAGAUGCAGUGUACCCGCGGCAAGACGGAAAGACCCCGUGAACCUUUACUAUAGCUUGACACUGAACAUUGAGCCUUGAUGUGUAGGAUAGGUGGGAGGCUUUGAAGUGUGGACGCCAGUCUGCAUGGAGCCGACCUUGAAAUACCACCCUUUAAUGUUUGAUGUUCUAACGUUGGCCCGUAAUCCGGGUUGCGGACAGUGUCUGGUGGGUAGUUUGACUGGGGCGGUCUCCUCCUAAAGAGUAACGGAGGAGCACGAAGGUUGGCUAAUCCUGGUCGGACAUCAGGAGGUUAGUGCAAUGGCAUAAGCCAGCUUGACUGCGAGCGUGACGGCGCGAGCAGGUGCGAAAGCAGGUCAUAGUGAUCCGGUGGUUCUGAAUGGAAGGGCCAUCGCUCAACGGAUAAAAGGUACUCCGGGGAUAACAGGCUGAUACCGCCCAAGAGUUCAUAUCGACGGCGGUGUUUGGCACCUCGAUGUCGGCUCAUCACAUCCUGGGGCUGAAGUAGGUCCCAAGGGUAUGGCUGUUCGCCAUUUAAAGUGGUACGCGAGCUGGGUUUAGAACGUCGUGAGACAGUUCGGUCCCUAUCUGCCGUGGGCGCUGGAGAACUGAGGGGGGCUGCUCCUAGUACGAGAGGACCGGAGUGGACGCAUCACUGGUGUUCGGGUUGUCAUGCCAAUGGCACUGCCCGGUAGCUAAAUGCGGAAGAGAUAAGUGCUGAAAGCAUCUAAGCACGAAACUUGCCCCGAGAUGAGUUCUCCCUGAGACUUAGAGUCUCCUGAAGGAACGUUGAAGACGACGACGUUGAUAGGCCGGGUGUGUAAGCGCAGCGAUGCGUUGAGCUAACCGGUACUAAUGAACCGUGAGGCUUAACCUU
Molecule: ribosomal RNA, 2903 nt
Filed under: Escherichia coli UMEA 3656-1
Lineage: Bacteria; Pseudomonadati; Pseudomonadota; Gammaproteobacteria; Enterobacterales; Enterobacteriaceae
Description: bacterial LSU rRNA
Rfam family: Bacterial large subunit ribosomal RNA
Source: RNAcentral